This 59-nucleotide transfer RNA is filed under the name Armadillidium vulgare (common pillbug). Its description in RNAcentral is "tRNA-Met". Lineage: Eukaryota; Metazoa; Arthropoda; Malacostraca; Isopoda; Armadillidiidae. The record is from RNAcentral.
AGGUAAAAUAAGCUAAUUAAGCUGGUGGGUUCAUACCUCAUUGAUAUUCAAUUGACUUA